Molecule: long non-coding RNA, 1555 nt
Organism: Papilio machaon (common yellow swallowtail)
Lineage: Eukaryota; Metazoa; Arthropoda; Insecta; Lepidoptera; Papilionidae
Exons: 4
Source: RefSeq, a predicted model, not a curated record
AAAAGAUGCUGUGUCCCGAAUUGCAAUAAGUCACGUGGAGAGGGAAAUAUUUUGCAUUUAUUUCCGAAUCCUGAUCCUGAAAACUUGGACAGAUUUUUAGUAUGGGCAAAAGCAGUCAGCAGGUGGUGACAUUUUAUUGUUAGAUGAACAGACUGUUUUUAGGUGCAGAAGAAUUUGCCAUCAUCACUUUGAGCCGCAAUAUGAAACACGGAGCAAUAGGCUUAGUCCAGCUGCAGUACCCACCCUUUAUUUGCAAGCUUUCCAGUCACGACAACCUUUGGAAGAUAUAUCUAAUCGGUCAAAUACUCCAAAUUCAAUGCAGCCGGCUCCAUCAACUUCAACUUCACAGACUGCUACUAGUGUAAUGGAGACAUGUGCAACUGUGAAAGAUAAUGCCCAAAGAAAAAUUGUUAACAAUUUCAAUUCUCAUCUUGCAGCUUUGGGAAAUAAAAUAAAAAAAUUACAAAAUGCAAAAGAUUCUGCAAUGACAAGACUUAAAAAAGCGCUAAGAUUGUCUGAAAAUAUUACUUUACAAAAAGCCUUAAAAAAAUUUACCACUACUGCUGCAGUAUUAACCUUUAACUAUGGACGCGCGGUCUGACAGACCGCUCUCGUUUCUGAAAAUUGUAUUUACCCUACUUCCCCUCACUCCUCGCUCUUGUGACGUUUAGUAGCUUCGACUUUAGUGGCGAAACGACUGUGAAGAAGAGAAGUUGUAUCGCUGGCUGCAAUUUGGCUGAGAAAUUUUGUUUUAAAUUUCGCCUGCGGUCUGUGAGACCGCGAGUCCACGUUUUCAAUACAAACAUUUAUUGACUGCGAUUAUAUUUUUUAUAGGAUAUAAGCAAAAAAAAUAUCAAAAAACAUAAAACCGAGUACUUCUGCGGCUAAACUAACUUCAAGGUCAACGUGGGACGGCCCAACAGAUGUCAAAAAAAAAAAACGCAUUGACGAUCCUUCAUUUGAAGAUGAAAUUAAUCAAAUGCUUUUCGAGUCAGAUCAAUCCGAAGAUGAAAACAACGUUGCCGUUUGUUUAGUAUUUGCUGUAGACAUCAAACCUGAAAUUAUUCACUACUAUAACUCCACUAAAGGAGGAGUAGACGAGACUGACAAGAAAUGUUCUAUAUAUAGCAGUAGCCGUAGAACAAGAAGGUGGCCUAUGGUCAUUUUCUAUAGGAUACUGGACUUGUGUGCAGUGAAUGCUCACAUUCUACAUAAUCAGCAUCAGCGAAAAGCAAUAGAAAGAAGGAAUUUUAUUAUGAAAUUAGCCUCCUUGGUCGUACCACAAAUGCAAAGAUGUGAAAUCCAUUUAAACCUUAAAUUUGCCAAAGGAAUUGCAUAUGACAUUGAAGCGCGUUUUAGGAGCAGAUCUGCCUAUUGCGGAGCCCCCUACUUUAGAAAUCGAGUAUUCGAAACGAAAGACCUACCGAAUCUGUCCACCUAAACUAAAGAGGAAGACUAACUACACUUGUGUUGGCUGUAAAAAAGCUAUAUGCCUUCAGUGUUCUAAGCCUUUGUAAAAUGACUGUCAAAAAUUUUACUGCUAUUGGACCUUUGU